UAAAGUACAAGAGUUUAAUCCAGCAACUUUCAAACUAUGAUCUGAAGUCAGGU
RNAcentral lists this ribosomal RNA (53 nucleotides) under Rhizopus arrhizus. RNAcentral describes it as "Rhizopus oryzae partial 28S ribosomal RNA". The record is from RNAcentral. Lineage: Eukaryota; Fungi; Mucoromycota; Mucoromycetes; Mucorales; Rhizopodaceae.